GAAACUAAAUAGGAUUCCGUUAGUAGUGGCGAACGAAAACGGAUUAGUCCAGCGCUUAAUCUCGCAAAAAAGGAAACCUGUUUCCGGACUUUUGCGCGAAAUGUAGCGUUCGGACAGACAUCGUGACGUGUUUGCGGGUAUCGGUGCGCGAGUAUCGGUAUUCGUGCACGUUUUUUGAAUGCUUCGGCACGUGACAUUUAAGUCCUAUUGAASUAGGCCAAACUAUGAUCGAAACUCAUAGAGGGUGUUAGGCCCGUAAAAUGUCGCGACGAACUGCCGCAGCAGAUGUCGGUGUCUGUCUCAGAGUCGGAUUGCUUGAGAGUGCAAUCUUAAGUUGGUGGUAAACUCCAUCGAAGACUAAAUACGGCCACAAGACCGAUAGCGAACAAGUACCGUGAGGGAAAGUUGAAAAGCACUCUGAAGAGAGAGUCAAAAGUACGUGAAACCGUUUAAGAGUAAACCCGUGUAAGUCGUGUAGUUUUUGACACGUUACCGAGUUGGGAUUCAAUAAAUGAGUUUUAUACAUGUUGUGUAAAAAUUGUUUAUGCAUUUCCCGUGACUCGGUUCGAAAUCGCAAAGUAUUUGCCGUUUUGACGCCGUCGCCCGAUCUGUGUCCCGUACAUUUUAUGUGUAUAGGUUACGGGUCGGCCAACAAGUCCGGAAGACGAGACGUUUCGRUCGGUUUUCACGAAUCGAUCGUGCGUCGUACGAUGGUCGGAAUUGUAUUUCCGUCGCAUUUCUUUCUCUCUCGGGGUAAGUUGUUCGACGGGAAUUUUCGACAAUCGAUGCCUACUGUUCGUCGUUCCAAUAUGGCAGAUACUUCAUUGUAGCAAUGGACCGUUACCGGUUCAUGUCGAAGUGCGGUUAUCGUGUGCGCGAUAGCGACGGCCGCUGUGCUUCGAUCUGGCGAACUUGAAGCGAUUUUACACGGGACCCGUCUUGAAACACGGACCAAGGAGUCUAACAAGUGCGCGAGUCAAUGGUACUGGUUAUUUUUAUAAAAUUUGCAACAAGCGGUGUGCAAAUGUCGUUCUGUUGCUUAUUGAAAAUUCCACAAAACCAUAGGCGCAAUGAAGGUGAACAUGGACGACCUUUGUGUUGUUCAAGUGAUGAGACUGACUCGUGUUGUGUUUUUUUGAACGCUGCGCGCGUGCAGUCGCAAUCACGGAACGUUUUGGACACAUGAUCGCUCUUCGGGGCUUUCAUGCAGUCGAAACGUAUCAAGAGCGUACUUGUUGGGACCCGAAAGAUGGUGAACUAUGCCUGGCCAGGAUGAAGUCAGGAGAAAUUCUGAUGGAAGUCCGUAGCGAUUCUGACGUGCAAAUCGAUCGUCAGAGCUGGGUAUAGGGGCGAAAGACUAAUCGAACCAUCUAGUAGCUGGUUCCUUCCGAAGUUUCCCUCAGGAUAGCUGGCAUGAUUUAAAUGUCGAGUCACAUUCGGUAAAGCGAAUGAUUAGAGGAAUUGGGAACGAAACGUUCUCAACCUAUUCUCAAACUUUAAAUGAGUGAGACGAUCGGCUUGCUUAAAUGCUUAUUGCGCACCUCGUGCGUAAGUGAAGCCGAUUAUACGGUAGCGGUGGUGGCGAUUUAUCGUCGUCAUYUCGUUAUCGUGURCUUAGAUCGAAUAUUGCCAAGUGGGCCAUUUUUGG
This 1648-nucleotide ribosomal RNA is filed under the name Mengenilla sp. DDM-2010. RNAcentral's name for it is "partial 28S ribosomal RNA". It matches the Rfam family "Eukaryotic large subunit ribosomal RNA", at positions 61 to 1140 of the family's 3401-position model. The record is from RNAcentral. Lineage: Eukaryota; Metazoa; Arthropoda; Insecta; Strepsiptera; Mengenillidae.